AAUUGUUAAAUAACACAUACCUUUUUAAAGGAAAAUCUGGAGUCGUGAUGAAAUGUUCGAGGAGAUGAAAGAUGCUGGUGCAUCGUCUCUUGGUUUUGCUUUCUCUCAAGAAGAGUCUGGUCGUGUUGGACAAGCUGAGCUUAUUCGAAGAUACGACACAACGCUAAAAAAGCCUCGUGGAGACUGACUACAAAUAUCCCUAGGGUAUAAAUCAAUGAGGGUAGCUUAUGUAUAGACUGGGUAAAUCAAUGUUUAAUAAUAGGGGUGGGUUGGGCUGUGGACAUGCCCCAAAAAUCGUGUCACAUUAGGACUUAACGUUGCGUCUUUGAAAAUUCUGCUAUUCAUCUCACCUGUGAAAGUGUACUGAUAUUUAUUAUGGGUUUUGUGCAUUUUAAGUGUGGUUCUUAUAUGGGGUUAACAGGAAAGUUAAAUAUAAAGACAUUCUAUUUUUCUUUCUUGGACGACUUUCACAACCCGUGAAACAUCAACUUACAAAAGAGCUGAGUUAAAACAGUAAAAGUGAUAAAAAAACUUCAAGGUAUUAACUAUUCUAGAACGUAUUUUUAUACGGCUUUUCAGUUGUGUUUCUUUGCCCUUUUGUGUUUAUUGGUAACGUAGCUCCGUAACGUAGAUCAGUAACGUAGAUCGGUAACUUAGAUGUGUACAAGUAUACUAUCGACUCGAAAAAGCAACCAAGUUAUUUUAUUGAGUUUAUUUAUGUUCAUUCCAGAAUAUUUCGAAAUUCAGCUGAUAAGGAAGUGAGAGUUUAUUUUUGAGGUUCACGGCCGCUGGCUUUUCUAGUCGAUACUUAUUUAUAAAAGUUGUUAUGGGGUAUGAAAGAAUGUCGUUCGUUAUUUACAAUAGUGGACCUCCUUGAAUUCUUGGGUAUUUUUGUGAUUAAUUGGGAAAUCCUUGGUUUUAUUUUGUAUUAUUUUAUAUUCACGCCAUUCAAUAGGGGAUUUGUACGGGGGUGUCAUUUUACUGCAACUACCAGAAUGCUCUGCGUGCAUCGAAAUACAAAGUGUGCAAAGUAUACUGGUGGUUGCAGUACAGUACAGCCUAUCUAUUGAUAUUUUACUAAGGUGUUUAUGUACAGUUAUUUCGUACUCAGCAAUUAGGCUGUUAUUAAUAUUAUUAUCAAAUUAGGUCUAUUAUUUUAAAUUAAAAGAAAUGGUAAAUAUAUUUGCUGCCUUUUAUGCAGAAUUAAAAGAUAUGAAACUAU
Molecule: long non-coding RNA, 1222 nt
Organism: Exaiptasia diaphana
Lineage: Eukaryota; Metazoa; Cnidaria; Anthozoa; Actiniaria; Aiptasiidae
Exons: 3
Source: RefSeq, a predicted model, not a curated record